UCAUAGUUAAGACUGGAAGAAACAACACUGUGAUCACAUGAAGUUUAGGGGGGAAAAAAAAAGACAAUAAACCAGCCAGUGGAAUGCCAGCAAAUGAUUGAGGUUUGCUGUAACAGCAUCAACACUGGAAAACAAGAGGGGACUGAGAGGAAGAUACCUAGAAUUUAUAAGGAGCUUUUUUCCACCCUUGUCAUCAUGAUCAUCUUAUUGUGCAACUCGUGGAACAAAAGGAUGAAACAGUCAUAAUUUUCAUAAUUUCCAUCUCCUAGAAUAAUCAGGAAGAAGAAGCAUCUUUAAUAUUCCUUUCAUCCUUCGGAAGUAAUUGGAUUUUGGAAGGCAUCUCUUGAGGUCAUCAAACCCAACCCACAAAGCAGGGUCAGGGCACCACUGGUAACCACCCUCCAGCAGAAGGUUCUGAAGGCUGAUCACAACCCUUUAAGCACUGCAGCUCAGACAGCUUUCAGUCUACCUCUCUGACCACAUAUCUAGGCCAUCCUUCAUCAGUUUGCCAGUGAGGAUGUUACAGAAUAGUGUGUCAAAAGCAUUGGCAAAAUAAAGAACAACAGUAUCAUCUGCUCUUCUCUCAUCCAUCAACAGAGUGGUUUCCUCAUAGAAGGCUAUCAGGUUAGUCAGGCACCAUUUUGCUCUCAUGAAUUAAUGCUGACUACUCUGAAGAAUAAAAAAAAGGAAAGUUCUGCUUUGACAGUCUUAUGGAUAUCCACCAGACAAGAGCUGUGAGGGCAGCUGUAACAAUGAGACAAAGCAAUACAAUAGGAAAGGCGCUACAACAGAGACACAAUAACAAAAGAACCAGCACAAAAUAAAGGUUCUAUAAAGGAAGGCAAGAAGAUUGCUCACUUGUAUCAGAAGAUUUCAUGUUUGCAGAGGAAAGCUUCACCAAGGAGGGAUCUCCAGAAAAAGACCCUUUGAUUUUCUGAGGAUUUUGAAGGGCGUGAGAUUCCACAUUCUCUUUUUAAAACAUAAUUACUGCUACAUGGUAAAUUUACCUAUGAGUUACCAACUACCAUGCUCUCAAAUUCUAAUGCUAUAAGCUUUGGAAAUAUAGUGUGCAUCGAAAGGAAUGAAGAAGAAACUGACCUUACUGUUUGUUAGGAAGAAGUCUCCUCUUGGGAGGGUGCAGUUGGUACCUCCAUUAUUACUUGCUAGCUGGUGAGACCAGCAGCCAGCAUUUGGUAAUGAGCUGAAAUAGACUCUCAGCUUGUGAGAAAAGCAGAAAUAUGACUUGCUCAAACACACACAAAAACAAACAAACAAAACAAACCAACCAAGUUUUAGUGGUAACCACCACAGGUGCAAUAAGUUAGGCUUGGAAAUAGCUCCUCUGCCAGGUGCUCUGAUGUACCAA
Molecule: long non-coding RNA, 1366 nt
Organism: Gallus gallus (chicken)
Lineage: Eukaryota; Metazoa; Chordata; Aves; Galliformes; Phasianidae
Exons: 3
Source: RefSeq, a predicted model, not a curated record